UGCCAGCAGCCGCGGUAAUACGGAGGAUCCAAGCGUUAUCCGGAAUCAUUGGGUUUAAAGGGUCCGUAGGCGGUUUGGUAAGUCAGUGGUGAAAGCCCAUCGCUCAACGGUGGAACGGCCAUUGAUACUGCUAGACUUGAAUUAUUAGGAAGUAACUAGAAUAUGUAGUGUAGCGGUGAAAUGCUUAGAGAUUACAUGGAAUACCAAUUGCGAAGGCAGGUUACUACUAAUAUAUUGACGCUGAUGGACGAAAGCGUGGGUAGCGAACAGGAUUAGAUACCCUGGUAGUCCACGCCGUAAACGAUGGAUACUAGCUGUUGGGCGCAAGUUCAGUGGCUAAGCGAAAGUGAUAAGUAUCCCACCUGGGG
This 368-nucleotide ribosomal RNA is filed under the name Flavobacterium sp. ISECF1. RNAcentral describes it as "bacterial SSU rRNA". It matches the Rfam family "Bacterial small subunit ribosomal RNA", at positions 506 to 878 of the family's 1533-position model. The record is from RNAcentral. Lineage: Bacteria; Pseudomonadati; Bacteroidota; Flavobacteriia; Flavobacteriales; Flavobacteriaceae.